AGACAACAAAUCAUUCCAAAAUCGAGGCAGUGGACUUUACAUGGACAGAUAAAAUAAUUUGUAAGGCUGAAAAUUCAGGGGUAGUGAUUUGCAAUCAAACUUCUAAUUGUGGUCUUGGGGACAUACGAAGGUUCAUCUUUAUGGAAGAGGAGCCCAAGUCUUAACUCAUGAUUGCCUUCUGGGUUUCCGUGAUGGUGAGGGAAUGUUUUCAAUUGAAACAAGAGUUCCUGCCAAAACGAAAGAACAUGAAAACAUGAUUCUUCAUCACAUAUUUGGUAAAUCCCCUGCUCUCCAUUUGAAAAUCAGAAUUUGGGGGUUAAAUUACAAGAGCACUUUCAAGUGCUGCUUUUUAAAAAAACUGUCUAUCUAAAAUCACAGGCAAUCUUUGUAUGAGCGUGAGUAUUAAGACUGUUUAAAUGCAAUUUAUUGAGGAAGACUUUUGAAUGGAACCAUUUCUUUCUCCAUUAAAGAAUGUACUGAAAUAAACACUGUAAUUAAAUCAUC
Molecule: long non-coding RNA, 504 nt
Organism: Balaenoptera musculus (blue whale)
Lineage: Eukaryota; Metazoa; Chordata; Mammalia; Artiodactyla; Balaenopteridae
Exons: 3
Source: RefSeq, a predicted model, not a curated record